AGAUCCUUGGCCAAACAACGCGGAUUGCAGUUCAUUUCAAAGUUUUGCUACUGUUCCUGAUUCAUUUCAUUGUGAUCAGAAAAGCUACUUGGUUUUGGUAUCAGGAUGACGCUGGCAUCAUAAAAUGAGUAUUUUUCUAUCGACUUCAGACUACUGUGCUGGAAGCAAGAAUUUCAAGCAUUGGAUCUUAGCUUGCUGGGCUCCAUAGGGGUGGGAUCCACUGAGCUAGACCACUUGGCUCCCUGGCUUCAGCCCCCUUCCAGAUGUCCUUGGCGUGUACACCCUGUGGAAUCUGGUUCAUCUCCAAUCUGUCAGAAGGCAUCAGAGGUGGUUUUGAUUCCUUAUGUCUUGGACCUGUGCACAAAAAGUGUAAAAUGGAUGGAACAUCAGACAGCUCAUUAUAGAGACAAGUAAGCUCCAGUUCCAAAGUUGGUUGACAGAACAAGUCAUGACCUUGUGUGGAGGAAAAUGAGAUCCCGAGUGAAGUCUACAAUGUCAUUGACGCUGAAGAAGGACUCAGAGACCCAUUGGUGUUUAAUGACCCUUACUGGCCUAUGCAAUGGAAACUGAUCUUGAGUGUGCCUUAAAAUUCCAUUUCAUGGAGAGCUGUGCGUGGUUGAAUUUUGAUUG
RNAcentral lists this long non-coding RNA (630 nucleotides) under Pongo abelii (Sumatran orangutan). RNAcentral's name for it is "lincRNA". Lineage: Eukaryota; Metazoa; Chordata; Mammalia; Primates; Hominidae. The record is from RNAcentral.